AAUAAGUGCAGUUUUGCACUAUUCACGUUUAACGUUUGACCGUUCGUCUUAUUUGAAUUUUUUUAUAAUUAGUAUUUUUAUUGCUAUUAGAUGAUAAACAUGAAUAGUACUUUAUAUGUGACUAAAUAUUUUCAAUUUUUUCAUAAAUUUUUCAAAUAAGACGGACGGUUAAACAUUGGGCACGGAUAUCCACGACUGCACUUAUU
This 206-nucleotide microRNA precursor is filed under the name Oryza rufipogon (brownbeard rice). RNAcentral describes it as "MIR812 microRNA precursor family". It matches the Rfam family "MIR812 microRNA precursor family". The record is from Rfam by way of RNAcentral. Lineage: Eukaryota; Viridiplantae; Streptophyta; Magnoliopsida; Poales; Poaceae.